AUUGAACGCUGGCGGCAUGCCUUACACAUGCAAGUCGAACGGUAACGGGCCUUCGGGUGCCGAUGAGUGGCGAACGGGUGAGUAAUGUAUCGGAACGUACCUUUCAGUGGGGGAUAACGUAGCGAAAGUUACGCUAAUACCGCAUAUUCUGUGCGCAGGAAAGCAGGGGAUCGCAAGACCUUGCGCUGAUUGAGCGGCCGAUAUCAGAUUAGCUAGUUGGUGAGGUAAAGGCUCACCAAGGCGACGAUCUGUAGCGGGUCUGAGAGGAUGAUCCGCCACACUGGAACUGAGACACGGUCCAGACUCCUACGGGAGGCAGCAGUGGGGAAUUUUGGACAAUGGGGGCAACCCUGAUCCAGCCAUGCCGCGUGAGUGAAGAAGGCC
RNAcentral lists this ribosomal RNA (384 nucleotides) under uncultured bacterium. Its description in RNAcentral is "bacterial SSU rRNA". It matches the Rfam family "Bacterial small subunit ribosomal RNA", at positions 30 to 416 of the family's 1533-position model. The record is from RNAcentral.